RNAcentral lists this ribosomal RNA (450 nucleotides) under uncultured bacterium. RNAcentral describes it as "partial 16S ribosomal RNA". It matches the Rfam family "Bacterial small subunit ribosomal RNA", at positions 354 to 796 of the family's 1533-position model. The record is from RNAcentral.
GUCGAGAAUAAUUCACAAUGGACGAAAGUCUGAUGGUGCAACGCCGCGUGGAGGAUGACGGUCUUCGGAUUGUAAACUCCUGUCAUCCGGGAGUAAGACCUGGCGGUAAAUAGCCGACAGGGUUGAUAGUACCCGAAGAGGAAGGGACGGCUAACUUCGUGCCAGCAGCCGCGGUAAUACGAAGGUCCCAAGCGUUGUUCGGAAUCACUGGGCGUAAAGGGAGCGUAGGCGGCGUGGUAAGUCAGAUGUGAAAUCCCGGGGCUCAACCCCGGAACUGCAUCCGAUACUGCCAUGCUUGAGGGUUGGAGAGGUAGCUGGAAUUCUCGGUGUAGCAGUGAAAUGCGUGGAUAUCGAGAGGAACACUCGUGGCGAAGGCGAGCUACUGGACAACAUCUGACGCUGAGGCUCGAAGGCCAGGGGAGCAAAAGGGAUUAGAUACCCUAGUAGUCC